GACGUAGGGGCCGAGCGUUGUCCGGAGUUACUGGGCGUAAAGGGCGCGCAGGCGGCCGGUCGCAUCGGCGGUGAAAGCCCCCCGCUCAACGGGGGAGGGUCCGUCGAGAUGGAUCGGCUGGAGGCAGGGAGAGGGCGGUGGAAUUCCGGGUGUAGUGGUGAAAUGCGUAGAGAUCCGGAGGAACACCAGUGGCGAAGGCGGCCGCCUGGACCUGACCUGACGCUGAGGCGCGAAGGCGUGGGGAGCGAACGGGAUUAGAAACCCCCGUAGUCC
RNAcentral lists this ribosomal RNA (273 nucleotides) under uncultured prokaryote. RNAcentral's name for it is "partial 16S ribosomal RNA". It matches the Rfam family "Bacterial small subunit ribosomal RNA", at positions 524 to 796 of the family's 1533-position model. The record is from RNAcentral.